AUGGAGGCAGUCAGCGCCCCCCACUCCCACCGCCUCACUCCAUCCCUGAGCAGAGGUGGGAGGGGGGAGCACAGGUACCCCAAGUUCAACCCCGGUAGCCAGGCCAGCCCUGUCCCUCGGGUUAAGUCUACUCUUCCAGAAGCCAGGGAGCCGCCGGCCACUGAAGGGGAGCCCGUGCGCCCUUCACCCGCGGGGGCCCCCUUUGGCCCACCCGCCUGGGACCCAACAGGAGCCCCCGCGAGUCCGAGAACCGGACAGCCCAGGCCUCGCCCCUCCGCGUGGGGAGCUCACUUCCCGGGGCGGAUCCGGGAGCGCCCGGCCCCCUGCGCCUUCGCACCCAAGGGCACCACGUGCUUCGCGCAUCCUCUGGCUGCCAGGCGGGACCGCGGGGCUCGGCAGGUGCCAGCACCUGGGGCUGCGGACCUGCCGGCGCCCCCCGCAGGUGACUCUCCGGGGCGUGGGGGCAUCUCUGCGGGAGCUCCCGUUGCCAUGGUUACCGCCUGGGAGGUGCGCAGCCGCCGCGCGGGGAGCUGGGGCGCGGGCACCGCGGACACCCCACCCCGUACGCGCAUCACUUCCCAUCCCAGCCACAGCCACACGCGUACACCCCUAAACCCACUCGGGGCGGACACCCGGAGAUGCGCUGUCGGAUCGCCCCCCAGCUCGAGUCCGCGCACGCGCAGCAGGCUGUGGCUCCCUCCCCUUGGUGACCCUCUCCGCAGACCCACCUCGUGGGGUCGCUUCAGAGAAGGGGUGGCCUCCUGGGCACGCACCCCUCGACCGGAAGGUCACCCCGCUGCCCCCGGGCACCCCCCGCCGUCAACCCCACCGGGAGCGCCCAGACACCUGCAUCCGCAGGGGACCCCGCGCAGGCGAACAGCUGGAAGAUGGCCACACUCUGCCAAACUGCAAUAUCCAGAAAAAGAGUCCACCCUGCACUUGGUGCUUCACCAGGAAGGUAGCAUCAUAGAGCCUUCCUCCUCCAGCUGCGCAGAAAUACAACUGCAACCAAUCUGCAGCAAGUGUUAUAUUUGCCGGUACCCCAAGUCUGUCAACUGCCACAAGAGGAAGUGCAGCCACACCAACAACCCACCCCCCAAAAGAAGGUCAAAUAAGGCCCUUCCACUGGCUCUUCCUUUGCCCUCAGGGUGGUCUCUUGCCCCAGCCCCAAGGCCCUGGGGGGGGCGGGGGGCUCAAUAAAGUUUCCCUUUCAUUGACUAAAGCAGUAAAAAAAAAAAAAAAAAAAGGCUUCGCUGAGCUCCUGCUGCAGGAUGUCCUCAGCCAAAUCCUGGUGAAGUGACUCCUGCUGGCUCACUUUGCAAAAUGACCUUUUUUAAUCAUCAGAUUCAAGCAAUCAUCAGAUUGCUUGUUUUUUAAACAGAGAAAACACCUUAAUGGAUACCUCCCAGCCUAAUAAAAUAUGCAGGUUGAAUGUCUUCCCCA
RNAcentral lists this long non-coding RNA (1443 nucleotides) under Vulpes vulpes (red fox). RNAcentral describes it as "lncRNA (ENSVVUG00000017902.1)". The record is from RNAcentral. Lineage: Eukaryota; Metazoa; Chordata; Mammalia; Carnivora; Canidae.